CAUUUUUUAUCUCUCCAACUGAGCACGUAUUGUAUACACAAAUUGAUUCACUCGAGUUGGGACUGCUGUGCUUCUUGAAUGAGAGUCGGCUUUCCCUUUAGGUCUAUAUAUCACACAAACCUUUUGAAAUUAGAAUGUUGAAUGAAUAAUAAAAGUUUAUACAACUUUCAGCAACGGAUCUCUUGGCUCUCGCAUCGAUGAAGAACGCAGCGAAAUGCGAUAAGUAAUGUGAAUUGCAGAAUUCAGUGAAUCAUCGAAUCUUUGAACGCAUCUUGCGCUCCUUGGUAUUCCAAGGAGCAUGCCUGUUUGAGUGUCAUUUCAAGUUCUCAACCGCACCAGAUUGCUUGCGUGCGGCUUGGAAGUGGAUUUGCAGGCCGCCUUUGUGUCUGCUCUUCUGAAAUGAAUUAGUGGUGGUCUAAACCUACUAGCACAGGUGUGAUAAAACUAUCUAUGCCUCUAGUAUGCUUUGCAUAUUGCUGCUUCUAAAUAAAUAAUAUGUAUGACAUUUGACCUCAAAUCA
Molecule: small RNA, 520 nt
Filed under: Inocybe amblyospora
Lineage: Eukaryota; Fungi; Basidiomycota; Agaricomycetes; Agaricales; Inocybaceae
Description: eukaryotic LSU rRNA
Rfam family: 5.8S ribosomal RNA (bases 163-316)
Source: RNAcentral